GCACCACGGUCAUGUUCCCUCCGAUGACAUCUGGUUUCCAAAAAAAGCAAACUAAUUCUGCUAAACAAGAAGUCCCCGCUCUUCCUACCAGACUCAACAACAGACCUGAACCCAGUGAACCAUCUCAAAAGGAUCCGCUCCGCUAUGCAGUUCCUCGCUCUCUGCUUGUCUCCUCUCUUCUUCUGGAUCCGCCCGACCUCUCACCCUGCUCUCUCAUGGGAUUCCC
Acanthopagrus latus (yellowfin seabream) is the source of this 226-nucleotide long non-coding RNA. RefSeq lists it as uncharacterized. Lineage: Eukaryota; Metazoa; Chordata; Actinopteri; Spariformes; Sparidae. The record is from RefSeq and is a predicted model, not a curated record. The transcript is spliced from 3 exons.